Molecule: unclassified non-coding RNA, 612 nt
Filed under: Sargassum ilicifolium
Lineage: Eukaryota; Phaeophyceae; Fucales; Sargassaceae
Description: sequence contains 5.8S rRNA gene, ITS2 and 28S rRNA gene
Rfam family: 5.8S ribosomal RNA (bases 1-69)
Source: RNAcentral
AAUCAUCGAAACUUCGAACGCAUCUUGCGCUCCCGGGAUAUGCCUGGGAGCAUGCUUGUCGGGGAGGAGGAGGCGAAAACUCGCCCACAGCUUUGGGUUCGAUCUCGACCUCAAGGCGGUGGAGCGGAAUAUGAGUGUUCCGGGGAGCGGUAGUGCGGUGUGUAUUUUUGUACAUGCCUCCUGCUCGUCCCCUGAGUCCACCCAAGCCUAGAGAGCUACCGAUUGUCCGGGCCUCAUUGCCUUUGCGGCGCUGUAGACAGGUCCACCUUGCGUCCUCCGGAAGAUCCGCUGUUGAUACCUUCGCAACCUCGCCCCCUCUCGCGGGGCGGGGCAGGGCGAAGGAGACACUGACGCCGGGGAUGUGCGCGGGUUACCUUGAGGCGUCGCAGGAGGCAAGUUCACCUUGCGUCCUCCGGAGGAUCCGUUGUUGACGGCGCCCCCUAUCGCGGGGCGGGGACACAACGGGUCGCCGGGGAUGUGCGCGGGUGUCCUUGAGGCUUGGGACGGUAGGUAGUCUCGAGAGUACCGGUGAGAGGCCGGUGAUUAUGAUUAUGCCAUACCCCCGAUCAAGCAAGAAGACCCGCUGAAUUUAAGCAUAUACUAAGCGGAGGA